Non-coding RNA from Canis lupus familiaris (dog), 157 nucleotides. Lineage: Eukaryota; Metazoa; Chordata; Mammalia; Carnivora; Canidae. The record is from Rfam.
AGCUUUGCGCAGUGGCAGUAUCGUAGCCAAUGAGGUUUAUCCGAGGCGCGAUUAUUGCUAAUUGAAGUCAUUUAAUGUUCUGAAAUUCAAUAGUGGUGGUGGAAUCACAACAAUAUGAAUAUACUAAAACCAUUUUUAAAAAGGUAUAUUUUUAUGG